RNAcentral lists this ribosomal RNA (428 nucleotides) under uncultured bacterium. Its description in RNAcentral is "bacterial SSU rRNA". It matches the Rfam family "Bacterial small subunit ribosomal RNA", at positions 355 to 775 of the family's 1533-position model. The record is from RNAcentral.
UGGGGAAUUUUGGACAAUGGGGGAAACCCUGAUCCAGCCAUGCCGCGUGAGUGAAGAAGGCCUUCGGGUUGUAAAGCUCUUUCAGCCGGAACGAAACGGUCACGGCUAAUACCUGUGACUACUGACGGUACCGGAAGAAGAAGCACCGGCUAACUACGUGCCAGCAGCCGCGGUAAUACGUAGGGUGCAAGCGUUAAUCGGAAUUACUGGGCGUAAAGCGUGCGCAGGCGGUUUUGUAAGUCAGAUGUGAAAUCCCCGGGCUUAACCUGGGAACUGCGUUUGAAACUACAAGGCUAGAGUGUGGCAGAGGGGGGUGGAAUUCCACGUGUAGCAGUGAAAUGCGUAGAGAUGUGGAGGAACACCGAUGGCGAAGGCAGCCCCCUGGGUUAACACUGACGCUCAGGCACGAAAGCGUGGGGAGCAAACAG